This 608-nucleotide ribosomal RNA is filed under the name Alternaria infectoria. RNAcentral describes it as "partial large subunit ribosomal RNA". It matches the Rfam family "Eukaryotic large subunit ribosomal RNA", at positions 1 to 622 of the family's 3401-position model. The record is from RNAcentral. Lineage: Eukaryota; Fungi; Ascomycota; Dothideomycetes; Pleosporales; Pleosporaceae.
UUUGACCUCGGAUCAGGUAGGGAUACCCGCUGAACUUAAGCAUAUCAAUAAGCGGAGGAAAAGAAACCAACAGGGAUUGCCCUAGUAACGGCGAGUGAAGCGGCAACAGCUCAAAUUUGAAAUCUGGCUCUUUUAGAGUCCGAGUUGUAAUUUGCAGAGGGCGCUUUGGCUUUGGCAGCGGUCCAAGUUCCUUGGAACAGGACGUCACAGAGGGUGAGAAUCCCGUACGUGGUCGCUGGCUAUUGCCGUGUAAAGCCCCUUCGACGAGUCGAGUUGUUUGGGAAUGCAGCUCUAAAUGGGAGGUACAUUUCUUCUAAAGCUAAAUAUUGGCCAGAGACCGAUAGCGCACAAGUAGAGUGAUCGAAAGAUGAAAAGCACUUUGGAAAGAGAGUCAAACAGCACGUGAAAUUGUUGAAAGGGAAGCGCUUGCAGCCAGACUUGCUUACAGUUGCUCAUCCGGGUUUCUACCCGGUGCACUCUUCUGUAGGCAGGCCAGCAUCAGUUUGGGCGGUAGGAUAAAGGUCUCUGUCACGUACCUCCUUUCGGGGAGGCCUUAUAGGGGAGACGACAUACUACCAGCCUGGACUGAGGUCCGCGCAUCUGCUAGG